AAAGGGAGACCUAAUUCAGGUAAAAGACGAAAAAAAAGUAGUCGCUACCAAGAAUCAAUCCCAAAAGGUCGGAGCGAGGCGAAAUUGGCUUUCAAACUAGGUUCUGGGUUCAAACAAGACCUGAAUCAGGAACAAGGGCUAUUAGCUCAGGUGGUUAGAGCGCACCCCUGAUAAGGGUGAGGUCCCUGGUUUGAGUCCAGGGUGGCCCACCUGCACAGGUGGCAAAAACAAGAGAAGCGAGGAAUCAGCACCUUAUCUUACUUAUAUAGUAAGAGAGAAUGCUGGCUCUGAGUAAAGAGUCCAGAGGAACCUUGAAAACUGCAUAGAGCUAGGUGAAAAAGCCAAAAAAGAAGACCGCAAG
RNAcentral lists this transfer RNA (361 nucleotides) under uncultured Microcystis sp. RNAcentral describes it as "partial 16S-23S ribosomal RNA intergenic spacer". The stretch from base 136 to 209 matches the Rfam family "tRNA". The record is from RNAcentral. Lineage: Bacteria; Bacillati; Cyanobacteriota; Cyanophyceae; Chroococcales; Microcystaceae.